UGUUUGAUGUUCUAACGUUGACCCGUAAUCCGGGUUGCGGACAGUGUCUGGUGGGUAGUUUGACUGGGGCGGUCUCCUCCUAAAGAGUAACGGAGGAGCACGAAGGUUGGCUAAUCCUGGUCGGACAUCAGGAGGUUAGUGCAAUGGCAUAAGCCAGCUUGACUGCGAGCGUGACGGCGCGAGCAGGUGCGAAAGCAGGUCAUAGUGAUCCGGUGGUUCUGAAUGGAAGGGCCAUCGCUCAACGGAUAAAAGGUACUCCGGGGAUAACAGGCUGAUACCGCCCAAGAGUUCAUAUCGACGGCGGUGUUUGGCACCUCGAUGUCGGCUCAUCACAUCCUGGGGCUGAAGUAGGUCCCAAGGGUAUGGCUGUUCGCCAUUUAAAGUGGUACGCGAGCUGGGUUUAGAACGUCGUGAGACAGUUCGGUCCCUAUCUGCCGUGGGCGCUGGAGAACUGAGGG
RNAcentral lists this ribosomal RNA (458 nucleotides) under Escherichia coli. RNAcentral describes it as "partial 23S ribosomal RNA". It matches the Rfam family "Bacterial large subunit ribosomal RNA", at positions 2211 to 2668 of the family's 2925-position model. Lineage: Bacteria; Pseudomonadati; Pseudomonadota; Gammaproteobacteria; Enterobacterales; Enterobacteriaceae. The record is from RNAcentral.